UACGGAGGGUGCAAGCGUUAUCCGGAUUCACUGGGUUUAAAGGGUGCGUAGGCGGGCAGGUAAGUCAGUGGUGAAAUCUCCGAGCUUAACUCAGAAACUGCCGUUGAUACUAUUUGUCUUGAAUAUUGUGGAGGUAAGCGGAAUAUGUCAUGUAGCGGUGAAAUGCUUAGAUAUGACAUAGAACACCAAUUGCGAAGGCAGCUUACUACACAACGAUUGACGCUGAGGCACGAAAGCGUGGGGAUCAAACAGG
This 253-nucleotide ribosomal RNA is filed under the name uncultured bacterium. RNAcentral's name for it is "partial 16S ribosomal RNA". It matches the Rfam family "Bacterial small subunit ribosomal RNA", at positions 524 to 776 of the family's 1533-position model. The record is from RNAcentral.